This 336-nucleotide ribosomal RNA is filed under the name uncultured Ruminococcus sp. Its description in RNAcentral is "partial 16S ribosomal RNA". The record is from RNAcentral. Lineage: Bacteria; Bacillati; Bacillota; Clostridia; Eubacteriales; Oscillospiraceae.
GGAGUCUGGGCCGUGUCUCAGUCCCAAUGUGGCCGUUCAACCUCUCAGUCCGGCUACUGAUCGUCGACUUGGUGAGCCGUUACCUCACCAACUAUCUAAUCAGACGCGAGCCCAUCUUUGAGUGAUAAAUCUUUGAUAACAAAGUCAUGCGGCUUCGUUAUGUUAUAGGGUAUUACCAUCCGUUUCCAGAAGCUAUCCCCCUCUCAAAGGCAGGUUGCUCACGUGUUACUCACCCGUCCGCCACUAAGAAUACUUAGUAAACCAAAUAUUCUCCGUUCGACUUGCAUGUGUUAAGCGUGCCGCCAGCGUUCGUCCUCGAGCCAUGAUCAAACUACU